Molecule: long non-coding RNA, 602 nt
Filed under: Citrus x clementina
Lineage: Eukaryota; Viridiplantae; Streptophyta; Magnoliopsida; Sapindales; Rutaceae
Description: Citrus clementina (C. clementina) long non-coding RNA (CCLE_LNC005693)
Source: RNAcentral
CUAAAAUCACUUUAUCUCUCGAUUUCUCUCUAUCUAGCAGCCCCCUCUAUGAUUUUCAUCCAUUUUCCCAGCCACUGCCAUCGAUUCAAAUCAGUUGCUGCCGUCGAUUCAAAUCAGUUGCUGCCAUGGAUUCAUCUUAAAAUAAGAAGAACAAGACGAAAACCGAUGUAAAUUUUUAUGAUUUUAUAGAUUUAUUAAGUUGUUUUAAUGUUAAUUUUUUUGAUUUGUUGAGUUUAUGAUUCUGUUUGGUUGCUGAGAAAAUUAUGGCUAAUUUAUUUUUGUUUUGUGUGUUUAUUGAACUAGACUUGAUUAUUUUCUCUUUCAUUAUAUUUAAACAUUAGUAAGUGAAUAAAAAAAUGCAUAUGGAGCAUGAAUUAAACAAAUAAAGAGAGAAGAAACAUAGAGGAUGCAGAGAAUUACGAAACGAGAGAGAGCUAUUUAUUCAUUUAUUUUUUCCACUCCGAACAGUUUUAUCAGCGAGGUGACAUAGUUGAAAGAGUAAUCGCAUUAACAGAGCAAUGGUCUUCAGAAUGUGAUACGAAUUGACCAGAAGCGACUCGGCUGACGGAAAAUGCCGGUUGGGUUGGUUUCGGAAGUGUCAA